AUGCUCAAAACCAGAGUGCUCGGCCUUGCGGCAAUUGAGAGAGCUAGAAGAAGACAGGCCUCCCGGGUGCUAUGGAUUAGGGCCGGAGAUGCCAGCACAAAAUUCUUCCACGCAAAGUGCAACAACAUAAGGAGAAAAAACUAUAUACACUCUCUGCAAACUGAAGGAGGGGAGGUUUUAACCCAGCACCAGGAGAAGGCCCAAGAGAUUUUCAGACAUUUUUCAAAUCAGUUGGGCACAAGGAAAAACCGGCCUCUCACAAUCAACUGGGAUCAGCUUCAGUUACCUAUUGUGACAGAUGUGGUCUUAGAUAACCCGUUCUCAGAGGGGGAGGUUUGGCCAGCGAUUAUGAGCUCUCCGGCAGAAAAAGCCUGA
RNAcentral lists this ribosomal RNA (375 nucleotides) under Triticum aestivum (bread wheat). RNAcentral's name for it is "partial small subunit ribosomal RNA". Lineage: Eukaryota; Viridiplantae; Streptophyta; Magnoliopsida; Poales; Poaceae. The record is from RNAcentral.